ACACCCAAUGUGGGGUUUGAACUCAUGACCCUGAGAUUAAGAACUGUAUGCUUUUUCAACUGAGCCAGCCAGGUUUACUUUACUGUUUCUUCCUUUACUGUUUCUAUUAUAUAUAAAUUUUAUAAUACUAUGUGUCAGCAAACUAUAGCCCAUGAGUCAAAUCUUACCUGCUGCCUGUUUUUGUACAGCUACAAACUGAGAAUUGUGUUUACAUUAUUAAAUAGUUUUUUUAAAGGAAGAAUAUUUAUCACACAUGAAAACUAAGUUAAAUUCUAACUGUAGUAUCCACAAAUAAAGUUUUAUUAGAACACAAUGCCCAUUUCUUUAGGUAUUGUCUAUGGCUAUUUCAUACUACAAUAGCAGAACUGAGUAGUUGACCCAGAAUGAUAUGACAGGCAAGUCCUAAAAUAUUUACUAUCUGGCCCUUUACAGAGAAGGUCCUGAAAACUCUGCUAUAAAGCUCAUAAGUGUAUUGUAACACCUAGAAAUAAAAUUAUAUCAUAAAAUAUUAACAUUUAAAAAGCUAUAGGAGUUACUAGCUUAUUUUAGUAGAUGUCUAUACACUAGAAAUUUGAUUUUACAAGUUUUUAUGCUAAAGACUGAAUGAAAUAUUCCAUGUGUAUGGAUUUUUUGAGGAUGCAAGGAAUCAUUUAAGAGACAUUUUCUUAUUAUGGCAUGAAGUAAAGUCUAUAAUUGAGACAACAAAAUGUUUAUACAUGAUUAUCAACUUGUAUUUAUCUCAAUAAAUUCCUUCUUUUCAUAUAAUUAUCAAAUGUUUUGGAUUGACAAUAUAUUAUUGAUCAAAUGAUUUGAGGUUAUUUAGAUGGUAGCAUUAAAAAUAUUAUGUCAAAAAAUAUUACCUGAUUUUCACAGUAGAUGCCAGCAAGGGGAUUAGUGGCUGGAAAAUAUAGGCAAGGAAAAUUGCUUUUCCUCUAUUCUCUAAAGUUUGGUGCCUGGAGCCCUGCAAAUUGAAAUGACCAAAGAUGGUUAAAUAGGAGAAGGUUUCUUUUACAUGGAGAGCCCUUACAAAAAUGAAGUGAGGAGAUCAGACCCAAAGGCUUAUAUAUCAUUUUAUCAAAGAACAAUACAUUUGUGGAGAAGGGACAAGACAAAGGAGAAAAGAGAUUUGAAUUUCUAGAAAGAUGGAAGAUAAUGGUAUUUUGCAAAAUUUGUCAUGCAGAUUCCUCAGGUAUUUAUCCAGUCUCUGGUCUGGUAAGAGUUGAGCUGUCUCCAAGGAUUAAGAAUCCCAAGGAUUAAGAGUUGUUUUCCCUUUCCAGUACAGAAGGAGACAUCUUUAUGGAUGGCAAAGUUUGUCCUGCUUUUAGCUAGAUGGUGGAGGGCAGAGAGUUUUUUUCCCCCCAUGACCAUAGUUUCUUAUUGCCUUCAAUUCAGAAUGAUGGUCAUGCCACAUUUUGGGGUGGCAUAUUCUGGUCCUCUUCAAUAAUGAGUGGCUGCUCAAGGUAGGAUUAUCUCAGUAAAUUUCACAGUCUGGAUCUGGUGUCCCCUCUACCCCACCUCAGCCCUCUUCAGAGAACACACACAUUUCUUCUCCACAGAUGCUGCUUGUUUUUCUAUCUCAUCAUAUGUCAUUUCUAUUAAUCUCUCUAUGGAAGGUUGGACAGGAAAUUUCGUCUACUCAAGCACCACUACUGAGGGCUUCAGUAUCCUUCAACCACAAUUUAGUUUACUUUUUAAUUUACUUUGGGCCUAUUUAUUAUACAUUUUUUCAAUUUUUUACUCUUAAAAUGGUUUGUGUUCUUAAAGCCAAAGAACCACAUCCUAAUUUGAUUCUACUCAUUUAUUCAUUCAACACAUGUUUUUGAGUCCCUAUUAUGUACCAGGCACUGUUUCAGGUAUUGGGGGAUACUGUAAUGUAGAAAAGCGGAAAACACUCUGCCUUAAUAUCCUAAUGGAGAGUAGACAAUAAACAAGAUAAAUAGGUAAAAUAUGUAAUAUUAGAAUGACAAAUGGUAAAAAUGACUGUAGGAGUAGAUGGUUAAUUGUAGAAAACCAGAGAGUGAUUGAUGCAAAUAAUCCCUAAGUGAUUGCAAUGCAAAUAACCUUGUCCCCUAGAGAUGCAAAUGAUUUAUGUCUGGUAGAAGAGAUUACAACUCAAAGAUUAGAUUUAUUGCCCUGUGAGGUGUUAAUCGGUUUUUAUGUAAUUUAGUAACCUUAUUCCGGCAUUUUUUCCCUCAGUGACUAGAAAUAUUUUGUCCUAUGCCCUGUGGCUUAUCACCUUUCUCACUCUCUCAUUAACAAGAUAAACAGCUCUUUGACUCUCUAUCUGUAUUCUGAGCAUCACAGUUUUUAACUUCCUGAAAAUUCUAUAUCAUCAAAAAAAAUUGAUAUAUUUAGCUCUGAUUUGCCAACCAUCUUUUUAAUGAGCAAACAAAAAAUUAAAAAAUACAUAUAUUUCAAAAUAUAUAUGUUAAAAAAUAAAACUAGAAACAAAUCUUGUGGGCUGAUUUUUAAUAUUCUAAUGUUGAUGGAAUAUUAAGCAUUUAAAAUGGAGACCAUGAAGACCAUACAGUUAUAAGGGAUGAAAGGUUAUGAGAAUGUUUUAAAAACAUUUAUAUAGUUUUCGGGGCACCUGGAUGGCUCAGCUGGUUAAGCAUCUCAGCUCAGGUCAUGGUCUCAGGGAUCAAACCCUGCCUCAAGCUCACGUUGGGCUCCACGCUCCGCAGGGAGUCUGGUUGUCCCCCUCCUUUUGACUUCAUGCUCUCUCUGUUCCUUUCUCAAGUAAAUAAAUAACAAAUAAAAUCUUUAAAAAAUAUAUAGAAUGUUAAAAGAUAAACUGAGGCAUAUUAAACUUUUUGAGUUUUAUUUAAGCAAAAAUCCACUUCAAACUUGGCAAUGUCAAAUGAGGAGUGGUUAGUGGCACUCCACCAUCAGGAGCUGGGGGACAAGACUUGUAGAGAAGGUGCAGGAGCAAAGCAAGGAAAUUAUUUGAUUGGCUACAGACUAAGUAUUUGCCCUAUUUGGAAAAGGCUACUUGGUUGCUUGUGAUUGGUUGUUCUUAGGUUUUGAUUUCUUAGUCUUGAAGCAUUUUAGGCUUAGGUUUUGAUUUUCUUGGGUAGGCUGCUGAGGCAUUAAAGCCACCUCAUCAAUGUUUAAUUAAUUUAGCAAUAGGUAAAUAAAUAAAACAUUUGAACUUGUAGAAUAAUAUUGCUUACUCUAAUAGUGUUUUGUAUCAGUCCACUAGCCAUUCAAGUAUUUGAAAUUAUUAAUAGUUCAGGCUCUGGAGUUAGACUGCCUGCCUGCCUUCAAAUCUUGGCUCAACCACUUCUUGGUUUGGAAAAGUUAUUUCAUCUCUGUCUCAUAGGAAUAUUGUGAGGAAUAAAUGAAAUAACAUAGGAAGUUCUCAACAGUGUUAGUAAAUUCUUGUUACCUGUGAGCUUUCUGUGGAGUUACUUUGUCCUUGCAAUGAAACGUCAGGCUGUACGAAGUAAUGUAGAGCAAGCAAGUACCCUUUGCAACUUAAAUCGUCAUGUAAAUUACUUUAAAAACAAUACAGGAUGUUUGCAACGUUUACUAGAAUGAUGUUUCUCACUAUUGGAAAAUUCUACUUAGCAGAGCUUUUUUCAAAUCAAAAUGGAUUCUUACCCACCAAAAUAGCCCCAUAUUUUAUCUUUAUUCUAUAGUAUAAUGGAACAGUUUACAACUUUAGUUUUUAGUCAAACCUAGGUCACAACAAACAGUGCUUUUUUUUUUUUUUUUUUUGCAAGAACAAGAAACUUCCUAAACUAACUGUUACUCAAAGAAACGACCUGGGAAACAUUUCUUCAGAGGAUUUAUGAGUAAACCUACUUCUGCCAAACGUUAGCAGUUAAUAAUUUCCCAAACAACAGAAAAAAAUACCCUUCCCCCCAAAAGAAAUACAAUAAAAUGAAAACAAAAAUAGAUAC
RNAcentral lists this long non-coding RNA (3905 nucleotides) under Canis lupus familiaris (dog). RNAcentral's name for it is "lncRNA (ENSCAFG00000052343.1)". Lineage: Eukaryota; Metazoa; Chordata; Mammalia; Carnivora; Canidae. The record is from RNAcentral.